This 523-nucleotide ribosomal RNA is filed under the name Salmonella enterica subsp. enterica serovar Infantis. RNAcentral's name for it is "partial 23S ribosomal RNA". It matches the Rfam family "Bacterial large subunit ribosomal RNA", at positions 711 to 1231 of the family's 2925-position model. The record is from RNAcentral. Lineage: Bacteria; Pseudomonadati; Pseudomonadota; Gammaproteobacteria; Enterobacterales; Enterobacteriaceae. RNAcentral also lists the same sequence under 3 other names.
AGACCCGAAACCCGGUGAUCUAGCCAUGGGCAGGUUGAAGGUUGGGUAACACUAACUGGAGGACCGAACCGACUAAUGUUGAAAAAUUAGCGGAUGACCUGUGGCUGGGGGUGAAAGGCCAAUCAAACCGGGAGAUAGCUGGUUCUCCCCGAAAGCUAUUUAGGUAGCGCCUCGUGAAUUCAUCUCCGGGGGUAGAGCACUGUUUCGGCUAGGGGGCCAUCCCGGCUUACCAACCCGAUGCAAACUGCGAAUACCGGAGAAUGUUAUCACGGGAGACACACGGCGGGUGCUAACGUCCGUCGUGAAGAGGGAAACAACCCAGACCGCCAGCUAAGGUCCCAAAGUCAUGGUUAAGUGGGAAACGAUGUGGGAAGGCCCAGACAGCCAGGAUGUUGGCUUAGAAGCAGCCAUCAUUUAAAGAAAGCGUAAUAGCUCACUGGUCGAGUCGGCCUGCGCGGAAGAUGUAACGGGGCUAAACCAUGCACCGAAGCUGCGGCAGCGACACUCAGGUGUUGUUGGGUAG